This is an unclassified non-coding RNA of Prolemur simus (greater bamboo lemur), 102 nucleotides long. It matches the Rfam family "Y RNA". Rfam says of the family: Y RNAs are components of the Ro ribonucleoprotein particle (Ro RNP), in association with Ro60 and La proteins. NCBI's taxonomy places the organism in Eukaryota, Metazoa, Chordata, Mammalia, Primates, Lemuridae. The record is from Ensembl.
GACUGGUUGGAGUACAGUGGUGUUUACAACUAAUUGAUCACAAACAGUUACAGAUUCCUUUGUUCCUUCUCCACUCCCACUGCUUCACUUGACUAGCCUUUG